GAGGAAAGUCCGGGCUCCACAGGGCAGGGUGCCAGGUAACGCCUGGGGGGGAAACCCACGACCAGUGCAACAGAGAGCAAACCGCCGAUGGCCCGCGCAAGCGGGAUCAGGUAAGGGUGAAAGGGUGCGGUAAGAGCGCACCGCGCGGCUGGUAACAGUCCGUGGCACGGUAAACUCCACCCGGAGCAAGGCCAAAUAGGGGUUCACAUGGUACGGCCCGUACUGAACCCGGGUAGGCUGCUUGAGCCAGUGAGCGAUUGCUGGCCUAGAUGAAUGACUGUCCACGACAGAACCCGGCUUA
This 301-nucleotide RNase P RNA is filed under the name Enterobacter hormaechei ATCC 49162. Its description in RNAcentral is "Bacterial RNase P class A". It matches the Rfam family "Bacterial RNase P class A", at positions 43 to 351 of the family's 367-position model. Rfam says of the family: Ribonuclease P (RNase P) is a ubiquitous endoribonuclease, found in archaea, bacteria and eukarya as well as chloroplasts and mitochondria. Its best characterised activity is the generation of mature 5'-ends of tRNAs by cleaving the 5'-leader elements of precursor-tRNAs. The record is from RNAcentral. Lineage: Bacteria; Pseudomonadati; Pseudomonadota; Gammaproteobacteria; Enterobacterales; Enterobacteriaceae. RNAcentral also lists the same sequence under 2 other names.